This 6932-nucleotide long non-coding RNA is filed under the name Ananas comosus (pineapple). RNAcentral's name for it is "long non-coding RNA (ACOM_LNC044316)". The record is from RNAcentral. Lineage: Eukaryota; Viridiplantae; Streptophyta; Magnoliopsida; Poales; Bromeliaceae.
UCGGACAUGAAGGACAUAUGAACCUAGUGUAAAUAUACAUAGGUUGGACAUCAAGUGACAUUGAACCUAGUGUUAAAGAACAUAGGUUGGAAUCAGGUGUGGCAUUUAAUCUAGCGUUAAAGAACAUAGGUUGGACAUGAACCUAGUGUUAAAGAAAGUAGUUAAACAAGGUUUAACACAAAGUGACAUUGUGGCUUGGUAUUAGCGGUAUAUGCAUGAUUAGGUAAAAACCUAUCAUUGGCAUUGAGGAAUAGAAAUAUGAAACAGGUUGGCUAUUACCUCUUCAAAUUGAGGAUGGGAUCAUACUCACAUGUAUUGGUUCCGGCUUGUGGGAGGUCGCUCCUCCACAAGCGGUGUACUCCGGAGUGUAGACACCACGGGUGAGAGUGCUCGGCGAAGAUGAAAGGAAUAAGAUUGCAAUAAUUUGUAAUAAAAGUAUGAUUGUAUUUGGAAGUUAAAUGUAAAAUGUAAUUGUGAUGUAAAAUAUAUCUAGUGAAUGUGAAUGCUUAUAAUAACAAGUAGAUUAUGUUUUUGAUACUUCCUUAUGCAAUCUUUGUUUGAAAUGUGUUUCUGGUUGGAACUUCAUACACUGUAUUGAUUGCGACGCCUUGAAUGUACAGGGAAAACCCUGNGUAGAGAUAGAAGUGGCGAAAUGACUCUCAGAGCAAUGUGAAUAGUAAAUUGUGAGAGUUGAGCCAUGAUGCUUAUGAGAACACCCGAGUGGUCCGAAAAUUUCGGAUGUCAUUCCGGUAGAUCGAACAGUGAAAGUAGCACCACUGUUGAAAGAACCGUCGAUUAGUGGCCAAGUUUGAGCACGUGGGCCUAGUAGUACUUCAAGGUGAGGUAGGCAGUUGUGCUCGUGCGGCCGGUGUGCAUAGGCAAGAUUGCCUAAUGCUGGACUUUGUGUGGAACGCUGCAGAAGCGUAGAGCGCUCGAGCGUAGAUACCCAUAGAGUGCGGAUGUGGAUUUAGCCGAGAGAGUGUAUUGGCAAUAGCACUUGAGCAUUGCUAGGUGUGAAGCGUGCCAUGGAUCACUCGUGGAACUGGUGACUCGCACUAGGUGCAUAGGAGCCGAUAUUGGUACGUGUGACUCGGUAGAGUAUGUCGUGUAGGACGACGACGGCGGGUAGUGCUUGGGGACGACCUGUGCCUGGACCAUUUGUGAACUGUGGAGCCUGGGCCCAUUGGGCAGGUGCAGUCAGCUGUGAGUGACAGCGGCCCGGUACCUACGGGUAGGGCAGAGUUUGGUCAGGACGGUAGUCCGAGCUGAGACCCAGGAGCGUGGAAUGCCACGUGAUAGAUUGUGUGACCGAUGGUACACCGAGUAUGGUUAUGACCCAACCUGAGGAUUUGACGUGGUUUGGGGUCUUAGUUGCUCCUGGUUGGAGUGUGUGCGAAUUCCCAAGUGAGAAUUUCGCCCGAUGAUGAUUGAGUCUGCAUUUGAGAGCAAGAGACGCUGCAUGUUGAGAUAGGUUUAGGCGGUAGGCCUACGUAGGAUUGGUGGCCUUUGGUCCACCUGUGGAGACCGAAGAAAGUGAUUUGGCAGAUAGCCUUAUCAAGGAGUUUGACUCGAAUUUACGAACGAAGCGCUCGCGUGAGCUCGUUGCGAAAAUAGUUUGAUAUUAAUCGUGGCAUGUGGUAUCAGAUGUUGAAGUACUCAUUGUGAGACGACGAACUAGUAGAAAGCCACGUGAUGUUGGAGACUAUGCUCGUAGACAAACUAAGACUUGAGAGGUGCCGAAGUAGGCUAUCUCACGUUAAAGUUAAAGGUCGGUGCGAAAUUAGAGCACUCACGACGGAGCGAUGCACCGGUGAUAUUGCUUCUAAGCAAUGUCGGUGAUCGAAUCAGAAUGUAUUCCCUGAAGGGAAGGUGAGUGCAAAGAAGAGUUCUUUGCGUACCGAAUGGAGAGUGGUGUUGGAGCGCGUAGAGUCGUCGAGUAUCGACUUGCGCUGCCACUAUGACUUGCAAGACCCGUGAUGUACUUUUGUAUCACACUUUGCAAAUGUGUUUAGGAUUAAACCCACGUCCUUCAGUAUGAGUCGCUUCUGGAACCACGAUAGUGUGAAGCUGCUUUGGAGUGGGAGAAUGAGUUGGUACCCUCAAUUGCUCGCGGAGCUGAAUUGAGGCGUCGUUUGAAUUUCGCGGACGAAAUUCUUUUAAGGGGUGGAGAAUGUAACAUACCAGAUUUUGGUAUAAAAAUAAAAAUAAAUAAAUAGUGUACGAUAUUAUUUUUAUUGGAUUUAGGGAAGUAAAACAUAAGUCAAAAAUGACUUGUGCUGAAAUCGGAAUAAAAACAGAAGAUUUAGAAUUUUCUGUUGGAAACGGGACAGAUAAAUUAGCAGGAAAUGCACAGUGUCAGAAAAUUAUGAAAACUGGAGGAUAAGUCAGAAUUAUUUUUAUGAGGCUGGAUUUAAAGUUUCAUGCCAUUCUGACGUCCGGAAGGUGGAAAAUAAAAUCCGACAGUUAUCUGAUAAAGAUUACAAUUCGGUACAGCUUUCGGUGACCAAACGGGGUCGAAACUGAAAUAUUAAAAUUUCUUUGGACUCGUUAAGUAAAACCGAACAUGACUGUCAAAUUUGAGGUUAAACGGAUAUUCUGGAAGCUCCGGCAAAAGAUAUCAGAUUUCGAGUUGCCUGGAGUGAAUAGUGUUUGGUGUUGACUAUAAGUAUAAGCUAAUUAGCUUCUUCUUCUUCAUCACCACCAACCAGCAAGCAUCACACGCGCGAAUGGAGAGGGGAGGAGAAACCCUCCUUUCUCUCUCUAAAGAUCUCUCUCAUCUUUCUAAAUCUGUCACGCCCGGGUACCAGCGGAAGUAUAUCCGGUACGUGCACAGCCCGCCAUACACUUGCAGUAUAUAAGGCGUCUACAAGAAACAAGUCGAUAGUUGUAAAAACAUAACAUAAUCCUAUCCUGAUAUUAGAGCAUAGUAAAAGUCACAAAGACUAUCAACAAAAGAACGAGAGUGUCCAACUCAAAAUAUAAGUACAAAAGAAAGUACUAAAACUGCCACAUCCGAUCCUCGCACGAUCAGCUAGCGGAACGAUGAGCCCGAUGCCGGCUCCCACUACAGGUCAAAUAUCUCUCUGAUGGUAACAUGUCUAUAAAACACAUGGGACACAACAUAUAUUCAAAACCUAGGUNACGCGACUCCCUUGCCACGAUCCCUAGCCUCUCCUGUAGAUGGCUCUGUAAAAACAACAAUAAAAAGGGCGUGAGAACUAUUAACAAUAGUUCCCAGUGGGUAAGUCGCCAGCCUCGGCGAAUUACACCACUAGGCUCAUGAUGUACUAAAUGAAAGUAAAAGCGAUAAUUGCAUGAUAUAUAUAUGCAAUGCUAACAGGCAAUAGGCAUGUAAUCACAUGUAAUCAUGAUUUCUGCAGUAAUGAAUCAGUUGAGUAAUAGAAGCAUAGCAACUACUAUAAACACAAGCAUGAAUAUGGAUAUGUAAGUAAAUACUAUACACUAUAACUGAUGAGCAUUCAUUACUGUCCUUUGUCAUUUAGUACUUUCUUUUCAUCAUAAGAAUCUACCCAAGGUAGUCCAUCUUGCGCCGCGUCUAAUGGCCCCGUGGUAGUAUACACUCCCCAGGCAAUCCACUUCGGCACCCAAUCCCGCACGGGCGAGCAACUGUCACGUAGGCCAACUCCGGAAUGCCGGCUCGUAGGGAGCGACCCUCACAAGCGUGUGCGAAUGAGCACGAUGGCAAGCAAGCAUAUUCCACUGUCCACAUGUCUCAAUUAUCAUGUUUUCAUUUGCAAUGUUCUUAUCCUCGAUCCUCUGAUCGGAAUUUCAAUACAUAAAUAGUAACAAAAACUAGUAUUCACUAGAAUGUAAACAUGUAAAAGUAAUGCUAAAUCACAUGGCAUUAUAAUCUUUCCACUACUAUGGCGCUGUCAACAUAGUCAUAAGCAUGUCAUAAUUCUCUACUUUAGAGUCAAGAGAGUGUCAUUGUUCUCUACUUUAUAAGUGCAUUCUACACUUGUUCAAAAGUCAUUCUACAGUAUUAGACAUGAUCAUAACUACUUUUAUGCAUGCAGUUUCUCUACUUCAUCUCUACUUCAUAGAGGUACAAUGGCAAACAUAUUAAAUAUGGUGACAAAGAUGUCCAAAUUCAUAUUAAUCACAUAGUCGCAAACUCAGCUCAAAACAGCCCAAUAGAAGCUCCAAACUCAGCUCAAACGGUCUCUGGACCUGCUGAAAAUAAAGCAUCAAAACCGCGUCGAAAUGAUUACUUAAUAAUCCAAUUUCGGCUCCAAACACACAUAAUACAAAAUAAUAACUUAAUUCCCUGCUUCAGCUAGCUUAAUACCUCAAGUUGAGUCUUCAAGAGCUUUCACAAGUCAGCUGAAGUCACUCCAAAAGUCGAUCGCACUCUUGCUGCGAACAACAUCGAAACGGCAUUAGAAUGCUAGUAUACUAGCUAAAAUAUCCGAAUUCUUGUAAAAUUAGAUUUCUAGCAGAAAUUCCUGCUUACUCUGGGUUAGAACACCUUCUAAACCAGUCCCCAAUGUCACCAAUUAAGCUCAGUUUAAUUCAAAAACCUGCUAUGAACAGCGAUUCCAAAAUCAACCUUUAAUCGACGAAUUCGCGCCCGAACAAUGAAGAAAAGAAGUAGUUUACCUUCUUUGAUCAGAAACUUAGUCCCAACUGAGCCAAGCUACAAUAUCUGACCCUGUUUCAACAAUAAAACCUCUUCUCUCUCAGCUGGAGUAACAAACAUCCAAAAUCAAUACUCAAAGCGAUGAAAAGAACGUCGGUAACAGAAAAAUUGGGUCGAUUACCUUAUCGAACAUCCAACCAGGACUCUACUGGUCCAGGGCUGCGAAAAGCUCUCCAAAAUCCUCCCUCAUACUUCCAUGUAAGCUCUGCGAUGCUCACAACCCGCAGAAAACCAACCUCGUGACGAAAACGAACGAAAUCGGCGAUUUCUUUGUAGAGAGAGAAAGAAAUCCUAGAGAGAGAGAAGGAAACCCUCAGACCUCCUUGCUGAGCUCAGAGGUGCUUAUCCAGGUUGCAGGGGUCGAGCUGGGGGUAAAAGGGAUAAGCUUGCUGAGUAAAAAGACCAAAAUGCCCAAGCUGCCACGCAGCUGCUGCUGCUGCUGCUUGCUGUACCGGUACAGCAUUAUGCUUGUACCGGUACACCAAUGCAGAAAAUGCCAAUUUCGAAAUUGCAAUGCACUUUCUCACUUCUAGCUUUCCAAUCAUCCUCUAACUUGUUCAAAAAUUUGUCCAAACCUUUUAGAACAUGUAGGAUAGUUCCACAUUUUAUUCCACACACUCGAACUCCGCAAUUUGCAAAAGUUCAGUGUAUUACAAAAUCUCUCUUUAAAAAUUGGAGGGUUGGUGGAGAAGAUGCUUACGAACGCGUUGGAGGCGACGGAUCGAGCUUUCGUGCGCCCUUUGGAGCGGCGUGUUUUCGUCGCGACGUUCACGUUUUGGUAAGAGUUUGGGAUUUUGUUUAAAUCCUUCAUGAAUCAUAUGUUCUAGUAGUAUCUAGAGUGUUCUAAAUAUGUUGCUCCAUUUAAUUUGGAUUAUUUGGAGGUUAAUUGCAUAGUAGGGCUCCGAAUGGAAUUUUGUAAAAUAGUAAGGUUUGAUCUCAUUUGACCCUCCGUAAACCUAAUUGUUAGAUAAACGAAUGCGUUGGCGAAGUCGGUUCGGCGAUUCAUUGAGCCGUUGUAAAGAUAUUAAAGAAACGAACGUUUAGGCUUCGUUUCCGCCUACAGGGCUGAGGCGACAUCGUAAAGUCAUGAAAAUGGAUUUGGAGCACCGUGGCACAUAACCGAAGACCUAUAAUUUUCGGUGCCGCGAUUCGACGCACGGUUGGUGAGUAUUAGCAAAAUCGGGCCGAACCGGGUUACGGGUGCCGCGGGCGGCCGAUUGCAAGUGUCGACAAGCAAUCGGAAAGCGAUUUGAGGUGGGUCGUGUUUACCAAAGCGACUAGGUCGCCUGUAUGUCUAAGACGAGUGUUUAUCAUUGAUGCAUAUUAUGGUAGCUAGUGGUAGAAUGUUUAAAUGCAUGAAAUGAAUGCUAUGUUAGGCUACCAAAUAAUGCAUAUGAUCAUAAUGUGAGAAUGUUAAGUAAUGCAUAAUAACAUAGUGUAAAUAAUGCUAAGUGGAAAGCAUAAAGUAAAUGACAUAUGUUAGUCAUGUUGCAUGUAUAGAAAUGCUAAUGUAAGAAUGUUAAGUGGAUGCAUAUAGUAAGUGCUAAAGGAAAUGCAUGCUAAUGAUGUAAUAUAAAUGAUGCUAGUUAAAAGCAUGAGGUAAAUGACAUUUGCAUGUUAACAUAAAGUAGAGAACUUGCUAGUUGUAAUGUAUAAUGAUAAGUUGUAAAGAAUGCUAGUUUGAAUAAGCAUGUUAUAUAAAUGCUAGAUAAUGCAUGUUAAUUAUCUAAAGAUAGAUGCUAAGAGAUUGCACAUGGAGUGACACAAUGUUAAUGCUAGAUGAUGCAAGCUAAUAUAUAGAGGUUUAUGUUAAUGGAAUGUGCAUAUGGACAAUCUAUACAUUAGAUCGAGUGUCAUUAAACCUAGUGUCUUGAACAUAGGGCGAACAUGAAUGAUAUGAAUCUAGUGUUAGUAAACCUAGGUCGUACAUGAAGGACAUAUGAACCUAGUGUGAAUAUACAUAGGUUGGACAUCAAGUGGCAUUGAACCUAGUGUUAAAGAACAUAGGUUGGAAUCAGGUGUGGCAUUUAAUCUAGCGUUAAAGAACAUAGGUUGGACAUGAACCUAGUGUUAAAGAAAGUAGUUAAACAAAGUUUAACCCAAAGUGACAUUGUGGCUUGGUAUUAGCGGUAUAUGCAUGAUUAGGUAAAAACCUACCAUUGGCAUUGAGGCAUAGAAAUAUGGAACAGGUUGGCUAUUACCUCCUCAAAUUUAGGAUGGGAUCAUACUCACAUGUAUUGGUUCCGGCUUGUGGGAGGUCGCUCCUCCACAA